AACGGCCGCGGUAUCCUAACCGUGCGAAGGUAGCGUAAUCACUUGUUCUUUAAAUGAGGACUAGUAUGAAUGGCACCACGAGGGUUAAACUGUCUCCUUUUUUUAAUCAGUGAAACUAAUCUCCCCGUGAAGAAGCGGGGAUUCUUUUAUAAGACGAGAAGACCCUAUGGAGCUUUAAACAAGUUAACACCUGCUACUAAUCNNUUCACUUUCCUGAACCACCACAUUAAGUAUAGCACCUCUGAUUAACAGUUUUCGAUUGGGGUGAUCAUGGAGCAAAAAUCAACCUCCACGACGAAAAGGAACACCUCCUUGAGCCAAAAGCUACAACUUUAAGCACUAAAAAACUAACGCACUUUGACCCAAUUAUUUGAGCAACGAACCAAGUUACCCUAGGGAUAACAGCGCAAUCCACUUUAAGAGCUCCUAUCGACAAGUGGGUUUACGACCUCGAUGUUGGAUCAGGGUAUCCCAGUGGUGCAGCCGCUACUAAAGGUUCGUUUGUUCAACGAUUAAAACCCUACGUGAUCUGAGUUCAGACCGGAGUAAUCCAGGUCAGUUUCUAUCUAUAAAGGGCUUUUUCUAGUACGAAAGGACCGAAAAAGCAUGGCCUAUAACCCAUCAAGCCAUAUAAAUUACUAUUGUUCCCAACUUAAAUAGAAGUAAACCUACCACUUAUCUCGAUAAAAGAGAAGUUAACGUAGCAUAACCUGGCCUUGCAG
This 722-nucleotide ribosomal RNA is filed under the name Boana raniceps (Chaco treefrog). Its description in RNAcentral is "partial 16S ribosomal RNA". It matches the Rfam family "Bacterial large subunit ribosomal RNA", at positions 1926 to 2925 of the family's 2925-position model. Lineage: Eukaryota; Metazoa; Chordata; Amphibia; Anura; Hylidae. The record is from RNAcentral.